This 253-nucleotide ribosomal RNA is filed under the name uncultured bacterium. RNAcentral describes it as "partial 16S ribosomal RNA". It matches the Rfam family "Bacterial small subunit ribosomal RNA", at positions 524 to 776 of the family's 1533-position model. The record is from RNAcentral.
UACGUAGGUGGCAAGCGUUAUCCGGAUUUAUUGGGCGUAAAGGGAACGCAGGCGGUCUUUUAAGUCUGAUGUGAAAGCCUUCGGCUUAACCGGAGUAGUGCAUUGGAAACUAGGAGACUUGAGUGCAGAAGAGGAGAGUGGAACUCCAUGUGUGGCGGUGAAAUGCGUAGAUAUAUGGAAGAACACCAGUGGCGAAAGCGGCUCUCUGGUCUGUAACUGACGCUGAGGUUCGAAAGCGUGGGUAGCAAGCAGG